Molecule: non-coding RNA, 93 nt
Filed under: human gut metagenome
Also listed under: 1 other name
Description: yjdF RNA
Rfam family: azaaromatic riboswitch aptamer (yjdF RNA)
Source: RNAcentral
UGAGAGAUAAAAACACGGUCCGGCUGGUAGUCCGGGCGCAGAGCAUCCGCUCUGUCAGUAACCUGCCUCCUUUGGUUGUCCAUUCUCUUUUUU